This is a long non-coding RNA of Bos taurus (domestic cattle), 1015 nucleotides long. Lineage: Eukaryota; Metazoa; Chordata; Mammalia; Artiodactyla; Bovidae. The record is from Ensembl.
GUGAAGGGUUGGUUGUAUUCAAGGAUUGUUUAGGCAGAGAAUGUCAGCUAAGGUUUUUGACAACCUACAAGAGAAACUCAGGCUGACUGCUUUAAGUAAAGCCACUGGGGAGGCCCCCCAGUAUUAAGCCUUGGGAAGGACAGGAAUCGGGCAUUUCCAGGCAUCUCAGGAACAUACAGAGAAGGCAAUGGCACCCCACUCCAGUACUCUUGCCUGGAAAAUCCCAUGGACCGAGGAGCCUGGUGGGCUGCAGUCCAUGGGGUCGCUAAGAGUUGGACACGACUGAGCAACUUCACUUUCACUUUUCACUUUAAUGCAUUGGAGAAGGAAAUGGCAACCCAGUCCAGUGUUCUUGCCUGGAGAAUCCCGGGGAUGGGGGAGCCUGGUGGGCUGCCGUCUAUGGGGUCACACAGAGUCGGACAUGACUGAAGUGACUUAGCAGCAGCAGCAGGAACAUAAAUUCAUGGAGAAGCCCUUUAGGAGUGACUCCUGUGAUUUUUCCCUCUUGCAUUACUUCUUGGGAUGGAAGUAAGAUGGCUCAGAAUAUCCCAGCCUUACAACUACAGACCACAGUAUCUGGAGGGAAAAUGAGAUCUUUUCUCAAUGCAGAUCUCAGGAAUAAGGCUGUGCCAGGCAGCGUGCAGGAUCUUAAUUCCCUGACCAGGGAUUGAACCUGUGCCCCUGGAGUGGAAGUUUGGAGGCCUAACCACUGGACCACCAGGGAUGUCCCUCGACUGCCUUUUAAUUCAGUUAAUUCAGUCACUUUGCAGUUCAUUUUUUGCUUCGUAUUUAAGUGUUUUGGUGGUCAGACCACAUUUCUGCUAAGAGUUCAUGGCUUGUUUUCAGGAGAAAAUGGCUAAAAGUUCAAUAUAAUUGUAUGCAUUUGAGGUCUAUGAAUAACUGUGAUAAAAUGUUCAGAAAGUAAAAAUGCUGCCUUCCACUCAAAAUUAAAUGGAGUUGACACAGCUGGUUUGUUUGAUUUGGGGGUGGGCAAAUGGGGUUGUGCUAGAUUGUA